This 68-nucleotide transfer RNA is filed under the name Xenophora japonica. RNAcentral's name for it is "tRNA-Pro". It matches the Rfam family "tRNA". Rfam says of the family: Transfer RNA (tRNA) molecules are approximately 80 nucleotides in length. Their secondary structure includes four short double-helical elements and three loops (D, anti-codon, and T loops). The record is from RNAcentral. Lineage: Eukaryota; Metazoa; Mollusca; Gastropoda; Littorinimorpha; Xenophoridae.
CAGAAUUGUAGUUUAAUUAAAAUAUUAGCAUUGGAAGCUAAAGAUUGAGAAAUGUUCUCAUAUUCUGA